AGCGAACGCUGGCGGCAGGCUUAACACAUGCAAGUCGAGCGGGCGUAGCAAUACGUCAGCGGCGCACGGGUGCGUAACGCGUGGGAAUAUGCCCUUCACUGCGGAAUAACGUUUGGAAACGAACGCUAAUACCGCAUAAUGACUCCGGUCCAAAGAUUUAUCGGUGAAGGAUUAGCCCGCGUUAGAUUAGCUAGUUGGUGAGGUAAUGGCUCACCAAGGCGACGAUCUAUAGCUGGUCUGAGAGGAUGAUCAGCCACACUGGGACUGAGACACGGCCCAGACUCCUACGGGAGGCAGCAGUGAGGAAUAUUGGACAAUGGGGGCAACCCUGAUCCAGCAAUGCCGCGUGGGUGAUGAAGGCCUCGGGUUGUAAAGCCUUUCGCGGGACGGAUGAUGACGGUACCCGCCAGAAGAAGCCCCGGCUAACUUCGUGCCAGCAGCCG
Molecule: ribosomal RNA, 443 nt
Filed under: uncultured bacterium
Lineage: Bacteria
Description: bacterial SSU rRNA
Rfam family: Bacterial small subunit ribosomal RNA
Source: RNAcentral